Peromyscus maniculatus bairdii (prairie deer mouse) is the source of this 1265-nucleotide non-coding RNA. The record is from RefSeq and is a predicted model, not a curated record. Lineage: Eukaryota; Metazoa; Chordata; Mammalia; Rodentia; Cricetidae.
AGUAGAGGCACUUCCAUGUCGUUGUUCUUGAAGCUGUGGUGACUGUGGGAUCAGAAUCUUUGAGUGUGAGAAAUUUUACAGAUAGCCACAAUGGCUGAAAAUGGACAUAAUGAAAAAAAAAAGGGCUGCUCUGGAGGCCAAUAUCUGUCAUCAAAUUGGGCAUUAUUUUGGAGACUUCAAUUUGCCACAAGACAAGUUUUUAAAGGAACAGAUCAAAUUGGAUGAAGGCUGGGUAUCUUUGGACAUAAUGAUAAAAUUCAACAGGCUAAGCCAGCUGACAGCAGAUGUCAACGUAAUUGCACAGGCACUGAGCAAAACUAAGGCAAAACUCAUGGAAGUGAGUGCAGACAAAAGUAAAAUCAGAAGAUCUCCAAGAAGACCCCCUCCUAAAGUAACAGAGGAGCACAAGAAUGAUGUGAAAACCAGAUCUGUUUAUAUUAAAGGCUUCCCAACUGAUGCAACUGUUGAUAAUAAAGGUCAAAUACUGAAUAUUCAGAUGUGAAGAACAUUGCCCAAAACAUUGAAGGGGUUAAUAUUUGCUGUGUUUAAUAGUAUUCAGUCUGCAAAGAAGUUUGUGGAGACCCUUGGCCAGAAGUACAAAGACAGAAGCCUGCUAACACUCUUUAAGAAAGAUUACUGUGCAAACAAAACAAAACAAAACACACACACACACACACAAAAGCAAAACAAGAACAUGAAGGGAGACACGGGUCAGGAAGUACCCAAACAAGACCUCUAGAAGGAAGGGUGGGAUGCUUACUUAAGUUUUUGGGUGACUUGGAAGACCAGGCCUGUAGAGAAGAUUUACACAUCCUUUUCUCAAAUCACAGUGAAAUAAAAUGGAUUGACUUGGUCAGAGGAGCAAGAGAGGGAAUAAUUUUCUUUAAAGGAAAAGCUAAGGAAGCACUUGAGAAAGCUGGAAGCGCAAGUAAGGGUUAACCUACAGUCAAGGCACAAAAAGGUGACUUGGAAAGUGCUAGAAGGACAUAUGGAAAAAGAAGCAAUGAAAAAAAAACCUUGGAGGAUGAGCAGGAAUCCCUAAACAAAUGGAAGUCAACAGGAGGCCGCAGCUUUAAAGGAAGGGAAACAGAGUUGCCUGUGCUGGGACACCCAAAGGAAGAGGACAGCUUCAGGAGAGGAUAAGAGUCGGUGAUGGUGAUGAUUGACGUGGUUCAGGACCAAUGAAAAGAGCCGGAGACGGAAGAGACAGAGAAGAACCUGCAUCAAAACACAGAAUAAGACAGAAUGGUGCUAGAGGCAAGUAG